GUGCUUGUCUAGAUAGCACUUACACUAAAAAAUUAGAGUGAUAAAGAGAAGAUUAGCAUGGCUUCUGAGCAAAGAUAACAUGCACAUUCAUGAAGUAUUCUAUAUUUGU
Myotis lucifugus (little brown bat) is the source of this 109-nucleotide small nuclear RNA. The record is from Ensembl. Lineage: Eukaryota; Metazoa; Chordata; Mammalia; Chiroptera; Vespertilionidae.